GACGAACGCUGGCGGCGUGCUUAACACAUGCAAGUCGAACGGAAAGGCCCUGCUUUUGUGGGGUGCUCGAGUGGCGAACGGGUGAGUAACACGUGAGUAACCUGCCCUUGACUUUGGGAUAACUUCAGGAAACUGGGGCUAAUACCGGAUAGGAGCUCCUGCUGCAUGGUGGGGGUUGGAAAGUUUCGGCGGUUGGGGAUGGACUCGCGGCUUAUCAGCUUGUUGGUGGGGUAGUGGCUUACCAAGGCUUUGACGGGUAGCCGGCCUGAGAGGGUGACCGGCCACAUUGGGACUGAGAUACGGCCCAGACUCCUACGGGAGGCAGCAGUGGGGAAUAUUGCACAAUGGGCGGAAGCCUGAUGCAGCAACGCCGCGUGCGGGAUGAAGGCCUUCGGGUUGUAAACCGCUUUCGCCUGUGACGAAGCGUGAGUGACGGUAAUGGGUAAAGAAGCACCGGCUAACUGCGUG
This 468-nucleotide ribosomal RNA is filed under the name uncultured bacterium. RNAcentral's name for it is "partial 16S ribosomal RNA". It matches the Rfam family "Bacterial small subunit ribosomal RNA", at positions 28 to 507 of the family's 1533-position model. The record is from RNAcentral.